Hippopotamus amphibius kiboko is the source of this 360-nucleotide long non-coding RNA. RefSeq lists it as uncharacterized. The record is from RefSeq and is a predicted model, not a curated record. NCBI's taxonomy places the organism in Eukaryota, Metazoa, Chordata, Mammalia, Artiodactyla, Hippopotamidae. The transcript is spliced from 3 exons.
UGCAACCUGAGCGCUAAAAUAACAACCAGAACUAGAUGGUCGAAGGCCACAGCCUGAUGUUGACGGCAUGAGGAUCAAGCCGGAUCACACGGGAAGGAUGCAGCUGGACCUGGCAGGGAGCAGGCACGCAGGUGAAGAGGGCGCUCAGGGCUGAGAAGGAAAACCUGCACCUAAUAGGAUGUUGAACCCGUAUAAUAAACAGAACACAACUAGACUAUUUCUGCAGCCGAGAUCCGAGCAGCAGAAUUUCACCUGUAUUGCACUGGGAGGAAUCAGAAUAAAACACCAACAGUGAUUUCGGAAGACUGAAGCAAUUCAAAAAAUAAAUUCUCAUUUCCAUUUUUUAAGCUUUAUUCUGUU